GACCAAUCUAGCAUAAGUACUAUAAAUUAUAGUUCACAAUCUAGGAUACUUUAUUAGGUAUGAUCUAGCUAAGCAGACUGUCACUUUUGUUUGUUUUCAUGGAUUAGGAUGAGAUAUUAAUGAAAGUGGAUUAGUGAGUCUCAUACCAUCUGACAUUAUGAUAUUACGACAAACAUAUUGGGCGCUUAUAAAAUAAGUAAGUCGAACCAGUGACACAUAGAUGACAUGUACAUGG
This 235-nucleotide unclassified non-coding RNA is filed under the name Hevea brasiliensis (rubber tree). Lineage: Eukaryota; Viridiplantae; Streptophyta; Magnoliopsida; Malpighiales; Euphorbiaceae. The record is from RNAcentral.